RNAcentral lists this ribosomal RNA (116 nucleotides) under Paraclostridium sordellii. The record is from RNAcentral. Lineage: Bacteria; Bacillati; Bacillota; Clostridia; Peptostreptococcales; Peptostreptococcaceae.
UAGUUAUUAUAGCAAAGAGGAUACACCUGUUCCCAUUCCGAACACAGAAGUUAAGCUCUUUAGCGCUGAUGGUACUUGGUGGGAAGCUGCCUGGGAGAGUAGGACAUAGCUAGGUG